GAUGAACGCUGGCGGCGUGCCUAAUACAUGCAAGUCGAGCGAACAGACGAGGAGCUUGCUCCUCUGACGUUAGCGACGGACGGGUGAGUAACACGUGGAUAACCUACCUAUAAGACUGGGAUAACUUCGGGAAACCUGAGCUAAUACCGGAUAAUAUAUUGAACCGCAUGGUUCAAUAGUGAAAGACGGUUUUGCUGUCACUUAUAGAUGGAUCCGCGCCGCAUUAGCUAGUUGGUAAGGUAACGGCUUACCAAGGCGACGAUGCGUAGCCGACCUGAGAGGGUGAUCGGCCACACUGGAACUGAGACACGGUCCAGACUCCUACGGGAGGCAGCAGUAGGGAAUCUUCCGCAAUGGGCGAAAGCCUGACGGAGCAACGCCGCGUGAGUGAUGAAGGUCUUCGGAUCGUAAAACUCUGUUAUUAGGGAAGAACAAAUGUGUAAGUAACUAUGCACGUCUUGACGGUACCUAAUCAGAAAGCCACGGCUAACUACGUG
Molecule: ribosomal RNA, 497 nt
Filed under: uncultured bacterium
Lineage: Bacteria
Description: partial 16S ribosomal RNA
Rfam family: Bacterial small subunit ribosomal RNA
Source: RNAcentral